CAUUGCUCUCGAGUACUCAUCUUCAACAUCUUAUGCUUCCAGGGAAGAUACCGUAUCUGCCUGAGGAACAGAUAGAGCAAGUGAGAAGGAUACAAGGAAGCAUGUGGAGACAAGCGUAACAACACACGUGCCGAUACAUCCACUACUCUGUCAAAAGCAAAAGUAUCCCAUAUCAGCAGGGUCGAACGUACUCUAGAUUUGAUGGACUUGUUUUGACCCUCAAAUUUUUCAGUCGGCCUUAUACUCUGGAGGAAACCAAAAAACCCUCCAGCCCGGUUCAAGAAUAAGCCUGUGGAAAGUUACUUCUUCAAAAGCAAA
This 318-nucleotide long non-coding RNA is filed under the name Malus domestica (apple). RNAcentral's name for it is "long non-coding RNA (MDOM_LNC006586)". The record is from RNAcentral. Lineage: Eukaryota; Viridiplantae; Streptophyta; Magnoliopsida; Rosales; Rosaceae.